RNAcentral lists this ribosomal RNA (248 nucleotides) under uncultured Ruminococcus sp. RNAcentral's name for it is "partial 16S ribosomal RNA". It matches the Rfam family "Bacterial small subunit ribosomal RNA", at positions 524 to 771 of the family's 1533-position model. Lineage: Bacteria; Bacillati; Bacillota; Clostridia; Eubacteriales; Oscillospiraceae. The record is from RNAcentral.
UACGUAUGGAGCAAGCGUUAUCCGGAUUUACUGGGUGUAAAGGGAGCGUAGACGGAAUGGCAAGUCUGAUGUGAAAGGCCGGGGCUCAACCCCGGGACUGCAUUGGAAACUGUCAGUCUUGAGUGCCGGAGAGGUAAGCGGAAUUCCUAGUGUAGCGGUGAAAUGCGUAGAUAUUAGGAGGAACACCAGUGGCGAAGGCGGCUUACUGGACGGUAACUGACGUUGAGGCUCGAAGGCGUGGGGAGCAA